Molecule: long non-coding RNA, 581 nt
Organism: Lycium barbarum (goji berry)
Lineage: Eukaryota; Viridiplantae; Streptophyta; Magnoliopsida; Solanales; Solanaceae
Exons: 3
Source: RefSeq, a predicted model, not a curated record
CAAGUCUUCUUUCAUCAUUUGCUCACUUCAACACCUAGAAAAAUAAGAACUUGGGAGCUCCAUUUUUGCCACUGUUUUCGGCCAAGAACAAGAGAAAACCAAGAUCAUUUCAAGCCUCCCUAAAAAUAAUUCUUUGAUACAAACCCACUAUAUUGAAGUCCCUAAGUAGCAUGGAAGUAUUGUUUGGGUCAUCCAACCAUUAGUUGUGCCUAUUUGCAAACCCUAGCCUAUUGGUGGAGGUGAAGAACAAAGACCUUGGGGAGCCCGAGGCGUAGAUUUGGAUUAGCUUUAGAUUGGCUUGCUUGGAGUGCGUACGAGGUACAGACGCACAGUUUGGUGAUCCACCGGUUUAGGACACCCCCUUUUUGCUGUUGGAGUGCUCUUCUCCUUUCAGAGCAUAUCUUUUGGUAUAUAUUUUUGUUCGCCAUGUAUGUAUAUAUAUUCGUUCAGGGGUACGGCGGGGCCCUGUCCCGCCAUAUGAUUCGUUUGGUCUAUUAGAGGUCUGUAGACGUAUUUGUGGGUGUGUGUGCCUACUUAUGUACAGUUAUGUUUAUAUGAUUCUACUCGUUAUGGCAGCCUCG